This 29578-nucleotide long non-coding RNA is filed under the name Lactuca sativa (garden lettuce). RNAcentral's name for it is "long non-coding RNA (LSAT_LNC009772)". The record is from RNAcentral. Lineage: Eukaryota; Viridiplantae; Streptophyta; Magnoliopsida; Asterales; Asteraceae.
AAAGGAAACAAUUCUGGCACUCCCAGAAUGCAUACUAUUCACACAAAGACAAGAAUCUGAAGUAUGAAAACAAUCCUGUAAGAAAGCCUGAAAGUUCCAACAACCGAAAGCCAAGGUUCGGUUCACAAGAAAAUACCAACCGAAAGCCAAGGUUCGGUUCACAAGAAGAUACCAACCGAAGGCAAAGGUUCGGUUCUGAAAAGGACUUCAACCGAAACCAAAGGUUCGGUUCCAAGAACAACUCCAACCGAACGCAGAGGUUCAGUUCUGAAGUCAAAGGAGAACAAGACUCUAAGGUCAGUCCCUCCAAUGAUCAAAAGCAAAAGAGUCACCUAGAGUCACCAGCCAGGAAGUCCUCUCCAUCCAAAACCUCUCAUUCUAACUCUUCUCGUUCUUCUAAUUCUUCUACUUCCACCAAUUCAUCUCCAUCUUGCUCUAAAGCUAAUCCCGCUUGUUCUCAAAAACCUCAUUCAUCAGCUGAACAGAAGGGAAAGCAGAAGGUCGAUGAAUCCAAACCAGAGUCCAAAACGAACACACCCAAUCCUAACAAAAUAAAAGUCUUUACCAUUAAAAAGAAAGAUGAAACAACUCUAAUAAAACGAACAUAUCUAGUUGACAUCUCUCUUACUAUUCCCGUUCCCAUGAAAAGCUCACAUGGACCCAAGAAACUUUGGGUUCCUAAAUCUGCUUAAUUUUUGCAGGUUAUAAGUGACGAGCAGUUUGACGAAGAAUGGUACAUCGAUAGUGGCUGCUCGCGUCACAUGACAGGGAGGAAAGAGGAGCUCAGGGAAUACAGAUCUCUUGCAAAUGGUGGCAACGUUAAGUUUGGAAAUAACUCUUUCGGCACCAUAAAGGGAUACGGGAUGAUAACGAAUGGUGACUUUACAAUAAGGAAGGUGGCUUAUGUGGAAGGACUCCAACACAACCUCAUCAGUGUAUCUCAGCUUGUUGGAGGUACAGGUCUCAAAGUCUCAUUCGAUGAUGAAGGUUCUGAAAUCAUAGAGAAAAAGACAAAGAAAGUGAUUCUAAAGUCAGAGCGAAAGGGUGAAAUGUUUCCUCUGAACAUGAAACCCAUCAAAGGAAACCCAGCCAUAUGUCUGUUAUCAAAAGCUCAAUCCGACGAAAGCUGGUUGUGGCACAGAAGACUCUCUCAUCUCAAUUUCAAAGAUAUCAACCGACUUGUCACUGGAGGUCAUGUUAGGGGUCUUCCAUUGCUCAAGUUCGACAGAGAGCAUUUGUGUGCUGCAUGCGAAAUGGGAAAGCAGAGUCGUCAAAGUCACCCAUCUGUAAUCAACACAAAAGUUGUUGAACCACUCGAAUUGCUUCAUAUCGAUUUGUGUGGUCCUUCAUCUAUCGAAAGCAUCGGUGGUAGCAAGUAUAUUCUUGUUAUCGUUGAUGACUUUUCACGAUUUACAUGGGUGUUCUUUCUAAAGCUCAAAUCUGAAGCGACUCAAAAGCUGAAAGUGUUUAUCAAGCAAAUUGAAGUCCAGCUCAAGAAGGUCGUUCGCAACAUCAGGAGCGACAAUGGUCUCGAAUUCAAGAACAGGGAGUUUGAAGAGUUUCUUGCAGAAAAGGGAAUUAGUCACAAUUUCUCAGCUCCCUACACACCACAACAGAACGGAAUAGUCGAAAGACGAAACCGAUCUUUGUGUGAAGCUGCCCGAACUAUGCUAAGUUUCGCUUCCUUACCUCUUUAUUUUUGGGCUGACGCUAUUUCUGCUGCUUGUUUUACACAGAACAGGUCCUAUCUCAACAAGCGAUUCACGCUCACACCAUAUGAGAUAAUAAACAACAGAAAGCCCAAUGUGAAAUUUUUCCACGUGUUUGGCUCAAGGUGUUUCAUCUUUAACUCUAAAGAACACCGCAACAAGUUUGAUGUCAAAGCCGACGAGGGAAUCUUUCUGGGUUACUCACUCACAUCCAAGGCGUACAGGGUCCUAAACAAACGUUCAAGAAGGAUUGAAGAGACAUACUAUGUGACCUUCGACGAUAGCUAUGUCAAGAAGCUACAGGCCAUAGAUGACACUGCCAGGGAAAUCUUUCCUCAAACUGGCCAAGUCACAGUCUCGAUCGCCAAUUUAUACGAGAAUUUUCUGGAACUCUUUGACGAACCGGAAAAAGCUUCUCUCUCAGAAGCAGGUGCAGCUGACAACAAAGUUGAUCAUAUGAAGCAGAUUGUCGAAGAUGCUGCAAGAAGAAUGCAUGAAGGAGAAUCGCCCACUGAUGAAUCUCCAUCCAACAAUGCUUCAGUCGAGGGGGAGCCAAGUUCUCAUGUCGAGGGGGAGCCAAGCUCACAAGUCCAGGGGGAGCCAAGCUCUACAACUUCAACCGAAGGUCCUUCACCAACCGAAGGUGCCUCUCCAACCGAAGAUGCCCCUCCAAACGAAGGUGCUUCAAUGCCUGAAAGUCCAGCACCACAAGAAACCCCUGAACCUCAUGUUUCUCAAGACUCAUCAAUUGAGGGGGAGCAUGAUGAUAUGACGCUUGAUUACGAUAGCCAAUCUGAGCCAGAAGAGAUGAUCAACGCUGAACUAGAUCCAACCUUCGAUCCGAAUUACCCUCCUCUUACCAAAUGGACCAGAGAUCAUCCUAUCUCUCAAGUAGUUGGUGAUGUAUCUGAAAAGGUUCUGACCCGAUCUCAACUGAAGGCAAAACAGACAUCCUUAUUUUCAAAGGUUGAGUUUUGUAUGUUUAACUCAUUCGUAUCAAAAGUUGAACCGAAGACAGUGAACACUGCCCUCGAUCACUCUGAUUGGGUUCAAGCAAUGCAAGACGAACUGAACGAGUUUGAAAGGAACAAAGUCUGGCGCCUCAUUCCAACUCCUCCAGAUGCUUCGGUUGUUGGUCUUAAAUGGGUUUUUAGGAACAAAAUGGACAAGGAAGGUAAUGUCAUAAGGAACAAGGCUCGUCUGGUGGUCAAGGGAUACUGUCAGGAGGAAGGGAUAGAUUACGAAGAGACGUUCGCUCCAGUAGCUAGGCUAGAAUCGGUUAGAAUAUUUCUGGCCUAUGCUGCUCACAAAAACUUUGAGGUUUUCCAAAUGGACGUCAAGUGUGCAUUUCUCAAUGGAGAACUCGAAGAAACUGUGUAUGUGGAGCAACCUCCUGGGUUCGUGAACGAAAAGUAUCCAAAUCAUUGCUAUAUUCUGGAUAAAGCUGUGUACGGCCUCAAACAAGCUCCGAGAGCCUGGUAUGAAACGCUUACAAAAUUUUUAAAGAUGUCUAAAUUCAAACAAGGUUCGGUUGACCCAACCUUCUUUCGCAAAAAGGAAGGUAACCACCUUAUGAUAGUUCAAAUUUAUGUCGAUGACAUCAUCUUUGGCUCUACGAAUCCCAGCUUAACAGCUGAAUUCAGAAAGUUGAUGGAGACUAAGUUUGAAAUGAGCUCAAUGGGUCCUAUUAAUUUUUUCCUUGGUUUAAAUAUAAGACAGGGACCCGAAGGCAUCUUUAUCAAUCAGGAAGCUUACACGAAGACUCUCCUAGCGAAGUUUGGCAUGAUGGGAGACUCAAAAGUCAAAGUCCCAAUGGCAUUCGGCACCAAGCUUACCCCUUCACUAGAUAAACCGGCUGUCGACAUCACGCUCUAUCGUCAAAUGAUAGGCUCACUGAUGUAUCUAACUGCUAGCAGGCCUGAUAUCAUGUUUUCUGUGUGUUAUUGUGCUCGAUUUCAGGCUAACCCACGCGAACCUCACAUGCUGGCAGUGAAGAACAUCCUACGCUAUCUCAAGCGAACCACCUCCUUAGGUCUAUGGUAUCCAUCCAACUCAGGCUUCUUCGUUCAAGCCUAUUCUGAUGCUGACCUUGGAGGAUGUGGACUCGACCGCAAAAGCACAACUGGUGGCUGUCAAUUUCUUGAUGGGAAGUUGGUCAGCUGGCAAUCCAAGAAACAAACAUGUGUGUCGCUGUCUACUGCUGAAGCGGAAUACAUUGCCGCUGCAUCCUGCACAUCACAAGUGAUUUGGAUCCAGAGUCAACUUCGAGACUAUGGACUCAAUAUGAAGAAGAUCCCUCUAUAUUGUGACUCUGAAAGUGCAAUUAGGAUCUGUCAUAACCCGGUGCAACACUCUAAAACCAAACACAUAGCACUGAGGUAUCACUUCAUCAAAGAUCAUGUGGAAGAUGGAAAUGUCGAAGUUCACUUCGUAAGAACCACUGAUCAACUGGCUGACGUCUUUACCAAAGCUCUUCCAGAAGCAUCAUUCAAUAAAAUAUUGCAAGGGCUAGGAAUGAUGGAAUCAGAGUCAGUACCUCACACUACCUCUCAAUCUCAAACGUAAGAAGCGAAACCAACCGAACGUUCGGGUUCGGUUCAACCAUUUCACUCGCUCAUUACUUCAAAGGUAGUUUUUCUGUGUUGUAUAUUUCUUGUGCAAAAUUUGUUUUUCUUUAUGUAAAAAGUUUUUUUUUUUUGCAUAUCUAAACUCCUUGGUUUCUUAAAAUUUUCCAAAAACCGAAACCUCCAGAAGGUUCGGGUUCGGUUUUUCAAAAUUUUCCUGAACCGAAACCAACCGAACGCUCGGGUUCGGUUUUUCAACUUUUUCCAACCGAAACCAACCGAAUGUUCGGGUUCGGUUUUUCAUUUUUUUUCCAAAGUUUUUUUAAAAGUCUUAUUUUUUUCUUCUAACGUUUUUAUUAUUUUUUAUUUUUUGAUGAUAAGUUUCAAAAACUCCAAAAAUAUUUUAUUUAUUUUUUUGUGUGCUCAUUCGUUUAUGGGGAUAUAUUUGAUGACUUACUUAAGUGUCCCUAGAAGCAUGCUGCUGUAUGUGUCCCAAGCCUCAUAAGAUUUUGAAUAAUAGCCUUCAUGACCUGGUAUACACAAACCUUGUCUUCCCAAUAAGGCUAACUCAUUUAUUCUAAUCGUGAGCUACCUCACUCUCUUCUCACAUGAGUUCAGAGUCUCCUGCUUGGUCCUUUUGUUCGCAGCAGAGGUACUAUGUCUUCUUUCACCAUCCCCAUUACACUUCUCCAUAACAUUCGUUUCAUCACUGUAACCCUUGAGACUCUCAGAAACUACCACUGAGGUUUAUGGUUACACAACAUCUGUGUUUAUGAUCUUAGUUUCGUGCCACUACGAGCUGAGUGAAACCCAAAAUUCAACACCAACGAAUUGACGGUGACCAAUUAACUUGAUCAAGUUUUCACCAAUGAAUUGACGAAUGUACCUUCAUGAAAUCUCAAUUUUUUUUCUUUUUGCGUGGUUCCAAUGAAAUUGUUACACACCAUGACAUUUCUUCCCAAGGGAUCCAGUUUUAAAUUUUUAUCUGAGAUUUCAUAUUAAUCCAAGCCACUACAAAAUCAACUCAAACCUACUUGUUCAACAGACUACACUGGUCUCACAAGUACUUUGUUCACAUUCGUUCUUAUAUCAAGAAUUGAAUUGUUGAAUCAAAGCGAAACCACCCUUAAUUAGCCUUAUUAAAAGAAGCCUUUCAACAUUUAUUAAUAAAUGUUUGAUCGUAAUUCAACGGGAUUCCACACUAACACUUUGAGGUCUCUCUUGACCUUGAAGGAAGAGAUUCGUGCCCGGGAUCAUCAGUUUCGUGUCAUUAUUGACAUCACAGAUUAUCCUAAAAAGAGUUGCUUUAUUUCUUUAUUUUUUUUACACUCUUUGCACGAAAAUCCUAGAUUUUCAAAAAUUCCGUUACUAAUUAUUUUACAGGCUGGAUAAUUAAUGGAUGGUUAAUAAUGAAGUUGUGGUUACCAAUAAUCCACGUGGGCGUUUUAUUCAAAAGACAGCAGAUUAAAAAGGGGAAGAGACAAAAGAUGCUGACGCGGCGGAAGUUCAAAGGAUAGAAAUUCAAACGACGGUAAAAAGCGGGCGCGUGAAUUUGAAGAGGCCGCGCUUUUUCUGACACUAUUGGACGCGUGUGCAGUAUUGAAGCGUCAUCCAUCUGGCAUUAAUGGCGCGUGUGGAAAUGGAAACGGUUCCUCUCUCUGAACCGGCGCUUAUUGGGCGGCGUGAUCCUAGGAAUCUGACACUCUCUCUCCUACGUGAUCAUCGCACGUCCCAACUGUCACCAAUCAGUCACUCAAAAACCCUUCCGUAUUUCCAUAAGAGAUUUGAAACGAUCUUUCUCUCUCCUAUCACCUACUAUAAAAACCCAUCCAGACCACCUUUUACCUCUUUACUGCCCCAUAAUUUCCAAAGCAAAAAUACUUCCAAACUCUCUCCCGGUUAUCUUCUUCUCCAACCUGCAACAAUGGCUGAAUCCUCUUCCGUCCAUGCUACUUCUCAGAUUCUUCCAAUCCGUCCUCAGCAAUGCCUCGUGAUUGAUCUGAACCCACUGGCCUAUGAUCCCUACAUGUCGCCGGUCAUCGAGUGUCUCAAAUACUCCCAGCUUGCUCCGGCACUGUCACGGAUUGAAACGGUGCCAAUGGUGGCCCUAUCUCAGGUCUACGCAACGGCUUAUUACGACAAGGCCGUUGACAGAGUCUUUUUUGAAGUGGCGGAACACAAGACGUCGAUUUCUCGUUCCCGCUUCUGCUCUAUGCUUGGGUUUGCUGCUGACCCAUCGCGUGUUCACCCGGAGACAAUUCCGGUUGGUAUGCUCUACAGCAUGUUCUACAACAUGGGCUACACGGAAGUUCUCACCUCCGUCGCCAGAUUCAAGAAGUCAUGCCUACCGCCCCAAUGGAAUGGGUUAUUUACAGUUCUCUUCAAGGGACUGUCAGAACGAAGCUCAGGAUCGGACGGGGCCAGUCGUCUUUUCCUGUCGAUUAUGUAUGCGGUGUACAACGGGAUCAAUCUGGACUACGGAUUUGUCCUUUGGCAACAACUGAUUCAGAGCCUCUCUUCCGCUUCCCGACACUCCGAGGUGUCACUAGCCCGGUUCUGGAUCUUGAUCACAAGAUGGGCUAUGGACAGGUUCGAUGUCCAAACUGCUGACGGUGCACCGAUGUCUUCGAUUGGUACGUUCCACACCACGAAGAUCAUCGUAUCCGCUGCAUCGAAAUUCUCCUUCAUUGGCUCUAUCCCGGAGUCGAUGUAUGGUAGUGUGCCAUCAGACAGCAGUAUGAUCAAGGCGAUCAAGGAGUUAGGGCCAUCUGGUCCGAGGGAACUGACACCGGACAUGUUGAGAUCGAUCCAUGAUGCCGACAAACCGGUGGCCAGGGGUAAGAAGGCAGACAAGGGGAAGAAACCAUCCAAAGCCCCAAAACCUACUCCCAAGAAGCGCAAACAACCGAAGGCUGCCUCGUCACCACAACCGAAAAGGAGGAAGACCCAACAAAAGCGAAAGCUAAUCCUUUCCUCCUCAUCAAGUGAAUCCGAAGUUGAGAGUUCGGACGCUGAGGGAUCACAAGGCGAUGUCUCUCCUCUACGAGGCAACACACCCCCUCGGUCCCCAACCCCGGAGAUGGAACUUCACCAAUCCCCAGUUCCUUCCCCUCCACCCACAAUACCUAUUUCCAUUCCCACCAUAACCCCUACUAUACCACCAACCUCAUUCCCUAUACCUCCACCCAUAUUCACCACCUCAACCGAAACACCACCUGUAACCGAAACCCCUCCCGUAACCGAACCUCCUCAAACCGAAACCCAUACACAACCACCACCUGAAACUAACCCCCCACCUACUCAACCUGAACCAACCAAACCCAUAACACCCCCAGCUUCACCACCACCUCAAUCUCCAGAAGACGCCUCCGAUGGCGAUGAUCAAUACCUAGGUGGUGAUCACCUGAACUUUGAUUCGGUCUACUAUAGUCCGUUUCAAGUUCAAAGUGAUGAGGAGGAUGAUGCUCCUGUAACCAAGAAGCAUCUCCGCGAGCUGAACGAGAAGGUUGAUCAACUUCUCGCCUCCUCUUCCAAUCAGCAGUCAUCCUUAUCUGAAGCUGCCCUUCAGAGGAUAGUUGAUGCCUUCUCUAGGGCUCAACAUGACUCAGUGGCCUCUGCUACUGCUGCAAUAGACGCCUCCACCCGCGCUUGUGAGGCAGCGACCGAAAAAGUCGAUAAACUAUUCUCCGACGCUACCAUCCUGUUGAAGUCCUUGCAGGAGAGCGCCGAUGCCACCAAGACAACUCUGGAACCGAUUGUUCAACAAUUGGCCACGUUCGUCUCAACGGAGCUGUCUUCGUUCGCUACACUCCGUCAACAUAUAAGCGACGACAACUCGGCACUUCGUGCCUCCAUCGAUGCCCGCCUGGCUAAGCUACAAGAGGAUCUUGCAGCUGAGAACUCUUUGAUGGACGUUCUGGCGAGUAAAACAACUNNNNNNNNNNNNNNNNNNNNNNNNNNNNNNNNNNNNNNNNNNNNNNNNNNNNNNNNNNNNNNNNNNNNNNNNNNNNNNNNNNNNNNNNNNNNNNNNNNNNNNNNNNNNNNNNNNNNNNNNNNNNNNNNNNNNNNNNNNNNNNNNNNNNNNNNNNNNNNNNNNNNNNNNNNNNNNNNNNNNNNNNNNNNNNNNNNNNNNNNNNNNNNNNNNNNNNNNNNNNNNNNNNNNNNNNNNNNNNNNNNNNNNNNNNNNNNNNNNNNNNNNNNNNNNNNNNNNNNNNNNNNNNNNNNNNNNNNNNNNNNNNNNNNNNNNNNNNNNNNNNNNNNNNNNNNNNNNNNNNNNNNNNNNNNNNNNNNNNNNNNNNNNNNNNNNNNNNNNNNNNNNNNNNNNNNNNNNNNNNNNNNNNNNNNNNNNNNNNNNNNNNNNNNNNNNNNNNNNNNNNNNNNNNNNNNNNNNNNNNNNNNNNNNNNNNNNNNNNNNNNNNNNNNNNNNNNNNNNNNNNNNNNNNNNNNNNNNNNNNNNNNNNNNNNNNNNNNNNNNNNNNNNNNNNNNNNNNNNNNNNNNNNNNNNNNNNNNNNNNNNNNNNNNNNNNNNNNNNNNNNNNNNNNNNNNNNNNNNNNNNNNNNNNNNNNNNNNNNNNNNNNNNNNNNNNNNNNNNNNNNNNNNNNNNNNNNNNNNNNNNNNNNNNNNNNNNNNNNNNNNNNNNNNNNNNNNNNNNNNNNNNNNNNNNNNNNNNNNNNNNNNNNNNNNNNNNNNNNNNNNNNNNNNNNNNNNNNNNNNNNNNNNNNNNNNNNNNNNNNNNNNNNNNNNNNNNNNNNNNNNNNNNNNNNNNNNNNNNNNNNNNNNNNNNUGCUACAUCAUGGAGGUUGCCCUAAUGGAUCAGGAGGUUGCCACAGUCUUCAAGAAGAAACCGAAGAUAGCUCCUGUGGGAUCGGCCAGUGAUCUCAACCAAAUGAAAAUGGGCAAGAUUGAUCCGAGGCGUAACUCGGUUAUGUUCACUAGAGCCGAAGGACAGAAAUGUCUCUUCGCUUUAGCUGACAAACACCUUUACACCACAGCUUGCUUGGAGCACGUUUUAUCGAUUAUCAAGCGGUGUAAAGAGAAUUCGGCUGAUGACAUCAAGUACUUCAAUGAUAUGAUCAAUUGGUACAUCCGGUUUAGACAGACCAUCCUCUCAAUAACCAAGUGUCUGUUUAGCACCGUGAAGAAGAAGGUACCAGCUUCAGCUACCGGCCCAAGUAAGAAGUGAAGGUCUCGCUCCAAAUUGACGCAAAGGGGGAGAUUGUUGGGCUGAAGAUCAUUUUGAUGUUGCGUCUUUUGGGCUCAAUAGUUUAGCCAUGUACACUCUGGUUUGGGCCUGUCCAACCGAGAGCCUUUUAUGUAUUGUAUAUAAGUCAAUGCUUGCAUGCAUAUUAGGGUAACGAUUUAGAGAAUAACGAUAGAGAGCUUAACAAUAGUAAUUUCAAGGUUUCUUUAAUCGUUCUUGUAACCUACCAAUCCUCUACAGUUGAUGUUCUUAAUCGAGCUCUUCUGAGGAUUUUGUUUUAAUCAUUCAACUCGUUUGAUUCAAUCUUGUCUUGUUCUUUUUAUUGAGUUUUUACUGUUUUAUAUUUAUAUACUUGUUCAAGAUCUAAUCGAUCUUCAUAGAUUAAAGAUUGUUUUAAUCCCAUCACAAUGCAUGAAUGUUAAGUCAGAGGUGGUUAUUUAGAUAACUAUGCCUAAAAGUGGUCUGGCCCUGAGGUAUUUUAACCCCAAACUCACCUAUGUGGAAAUAUAAUGUCAGACAUGCCUAAUAGUGUUCUAUUACUGACACACUCUAUUUAGCAGUCUACGAAGUUCCCUCAAAUACUUCAUGAAAGGAGACGUUGACACACAAAGCUCAUAAAAAGAAAAAAAAGAAGGGGAACACUAAUAUUGUGAUAUGUGCUUGGGGAUUAAUGUUACCGCUUUAUGGUGCCGGUUGGCUUGAACCCUGUAAUUACAACAAACAAGAAAGAGCGACAACCGUUGUUUGGGAGGUGGUCCCGCGACAAAGCUCCGACGGUCUAGUUAGUAUGUGUAUAAGGAUAUGGAGAUUAAGGUUAAUGAGAAUAGUGAGGCGGUCCCUUAUUAUGGAGAAGGGUUCCUUUUAUACAUGUUGACCUCUACACAUGAUCCUAAUAGUAUCCUUUGUCCCAUCUGAGUUUAAAGGACGUGGAGGAAUCCUAUUGGUUGAUCAAGACACUUGUUCGGUGAAGAUGCAUUGGACAUUCGGUGAUGUAACAAAGCCGUUAGCACAGGCAGUUUCAUUAUGGUGACGGUUCAAUAUUCGUUCUUCUCAUUUAAACCUCCUUUAUCAGGAACAAAUUUUCUUUUUACUCUUUCCAUUCUCAACUGCUUCUGACUUCUCUUUGCUUACUAUAUCUUCUUUCCUAUUUUUGCUCUAAGAAAUGAUGGCAACACCGCGAUCCGGAAUCAAACCAACCCCAGAAGAACUCUUCAGGGCUCUUUAGUCCUGGUUCGGUUUCAUGCAUGAACAUGGGAUGCAAUUUCCAAGGGAAGGGGCGGUUAUCUUUCAGCCACCGGAGGGUAAGGUCGGAGUCCUCAUUCUGAUCUUUGAGGCAGGUCGGAGACUACCAACAAGUGAUUUCUUUGAUGAAAUCAUGCAUCAAUACGACUUCUCCAUGGAAGACUUGACCCCCAAUGCUGUUAACAAGAUUGUGGGGUUCAAAUUGGCUUGUCGAACCCGUGGGGUGCUUCCUUAAUUCUGGGUAUUCAAAGCCUACUUCAAAUUUUCCACAUAAUUUGGUGUUCAUACCUUUUCUUAGAGGUUAGGCAUCAACACGUUCAUCAUCAAUCUAAAGGCGACGAAGAAAAAUUGGCAAGACAAGUGGCUUUGGUUAAAUCGCAAGAUGGUUAGUUUUGGCUACCCCUGAGUGACUCUCUUUUCUAACCGAGUGCCACAAUGGUGGGGUGCUAGUCUGACCGUAGCAUAGGCAUUGCAAAGGAUUUGAUUCAACAAAGAGGAUUUGGAGGAUUACAUCCUAGCUAUGGUAGGGAAGAGUGCCGGCUGGAGGGCCUAGGGGAUGAUGCUCCAGUUCUUCGUGGAGAAGGACUGAAAGUACUCUUCUCCUCCUCCUCCUCCGCCUCCCCCCCAAUUUUUUUGAUAUGAUAGGCUUACCCAUUUUGUAUGCCAUUUGUCUUCGUAGGUAUCGAAAGGGUUUUAUCAUUUGAGACGGUUCUGCAGGCAAGUUCAAGGGAAAUAUCAAGUACCGUGACGUACCUAUGGUGGAGAUUCUUCCUUCGCCCGUUAGUGCCAAUUGAGACCUGGUGCUUGCCACACCUUCUGCUGUUAGGGGCGAGGGGUUUGCUACCCAGGUCGACCCGAAUUUGGUGGAUGCACCCGUUGAGGGUGUUUCUCAUGAUGAUCCUCCGCCUUCAAACUCUGAAGACGAACCAGUGAAGGAGAUGAUAGUCCACGAUGGUCGAGAAACAACCAAACUACAAAUAGCUUGGAUGUACUCCCCUCUUGAUCGAGACGUUGGUGUGAGAACCAUUGCAAAAUGUCUUCACAAGAGACGUAACAUGGAUUUCCUGCUGGGGAAAUCAGACGUAUAGAUCAACAUCCCCGAUGAUGAUGCUUAUCACUAGUCGAAGGGGAUGAAAAAAGAGGCAACAUAACCACCUUAGGAACUAAAGAAAGAAAUGGAGGAUGCCACAAAUCUUGGUAGUGGCGAGCUCAAGAAGAAGCCGGAGGUUGACCUCCAAACUGAUCCUGGCUUUACUUCAUCCUCGGUAAGAGACACUGUUGUUGCGGGUGCUUCUCCUACACCAUUGGUGGCUCCCGACGUUUAUCUCCUAGAGUGAACUCUCACUCGUGAGUCCCUACUCUGGCAACAUUCUAUUGCAUAUGAGUAGAGUCACCACAUGUUCCCUCCGGCCACCAUAGAAGCAUUGGAAAUCUUUUCUAACUCCCAUAUGGCUAACAACCUUCAAUAUGCGGCGGUCCAGGUUUCCCCUUACUUGGUGGAUGUGGUUAGACGCCUACGCCACAUGAGCUCCAACUUGGUGGAAUUGACUAUCAUCAAGAUUGAGCGUGACGAUUUGAGGGAGAGGGUGACAUGCCUUAAGGAGGAGAAACAAAAGUUUGAGGAGAAAUACGACCUCUUGGCCCAGGAGAAAGCUUAUGUGGAGGCCCAAGUGUCAAGCUUGGACACAAAGGUGGAGCAUCGGUCUCGAUAGGUGGAGGUCUUGGCAGGGGAGAAGGAAGCUUUGUAGGUGAAAGUAAAGAAAUAUGGUGAGCAUUUGGUUGCUGAGGGGUUGACAAGGAAGGCCUUGGAGGAGGAUAUGGCUUCGCUUCUCCAAGAAGGCAUUGUUCACAUGGUGGUCGGGGUUAUUAAGAGCACUGAGUUCUUAUUGGGGGUCCAGUGAAUGAAGGGACCAUGCGUGGCUGCCGGUAUUGAGGGUGCUAAAUAGGUGGUUCAGGAUCAAGUAGCUACCACAAAGUUUGACCCUGGGGAGCCAAGUGCCGUCAUAUAGAAGACCCAAGCAAUGCAUGCCUCCGUGAAAUCUUCUAUAGAGACAGAAUUUGCUUCAUAUCUUUAUAUGGGUGAGCUCGAUUUGGAAGGCAUUUGUCAAUUAUGCAGCAAUCUUGACACCGAGUAGAGCCCACCUGAAGGUAGCUCAUUGAACGAUGAGCCCUCGUCUAAUCUUGUUGCUAAAUGAUCAUUCCUUCCUCUUGGCUGGUGUAUGUUUAAGAAACAAUAUUUGAACAAUUUUUGGUUUGUUUGUAUCCUAUGAGGUGCAUCUAUUCAUGUUUUUCCUCUUAGGGGAUUUCUUUCCAAAGGUUUGUGUUGGCUUGAUGAAUUGUCUGGGAAAGAGUCCUACUUGAUUUGUAGGGUGUUAAGACUCGAAAGAUUCUUUCCUUUGACAGGUGAAAGUUGUUUAGUUCAACAAAUUAAAUGUUUUACUAGGUUAUUUUGAACUGUGAUUUUUGGAUUUACACUUAACCUAAGUGUUUUGGUUUUGGCCUGGGAGUUGACGCUUGUAAGCUCGGGGUUCAUCCUUUUUUCAAGUCAAUGGCCUAUGUUUUUUUGGCUAAGGCCUUGGCUAUCCUUCUAUUACCAACCUUGGCUGGAACACGUUUAUUAGGGUAUUCACUUUGAGGAAAUGUUUUAUGGCUACCCUUUAAGACUUUUUUCUGAGUCUUCGGCCGAUGAGAGUGGCACUAUGGCCCUAGUCAUCUAAGUUAACCUGAGAUCGUCACCUUGAGGCGUUUGGGACAUAGGUAUCAUUUUUAUAUCAAGGGAAAGGUUAUGAGCCUUUAAAUCCUUUCUUCAUGUCAUGGGCAAAGAUAAUGGUCCUUUGAGUUAGAUUGACAUGUUUUAGGGAAAAGUUAUGAGCCUUUAAAGCCUAUUAGCUGCAUCCUUGCAUCGAUUUCGCUCAAGUGACAUUAGUUCUUGUUGUUAAUUGGUAAAUUAGAACAACCUCCUAUUGAAAUGAUAUCAAGCUUGAAUAAUAAUAAACAUCUUAAUUGUUUUCGAAAGUAGUCAACUUCCAUCAUUCUAUUAAUAAUGUUAUGGAAGUAUGAACAUUGUUUAGCGAGGACAAAAACAACUAAACUUUGACAAGAAAACGGGCCUAGAACUAGUGCUAACUAUUAGAGUGUGAUUAUCCAUUUCGAGUUAGAACACAUUGCUUUCGCCAUUGACAUGCCUUAUUCUUGAUUUUCUCCUUGUUUUUAGAGUCAAAGUGGUACAAAUUGUACAUAUUUUAGGUCUGAGGGAUGGGCCUCCCAUCUUGUGCUUUCGGGACAUAAGCUCCAUUUUGAUGCAUCUCUACUAUCUUUUAUGGGCCUUACUAGGUGACACUUAGCUUUCCCUAAGGUUGUACAUGACUGGAUUCGUUCUUCCUCAACACCCAUUCUCCUACUUUGAAGUUCUUCACUCACACUCGUCUAUUGUAGUAAUUCCCGGUAUGAGCUUUGUCGGCAGCUUGGUGGAGUUGGUUGGCUUCACGUUUCUCAUCAAGCAUGUCUAAGUAUUGAUGUCACCCAGUUUCAUUGACAUGUGCGUUGAAGUUCAUCACCCAUAGUGAUCCAACAAGAAUCUCAGGUCGGAGGACUACCUUUCUGCCGUAUGUUAGGCUAAAGGGUUUUUCCCUAGUACAAGAUCUUGAGGUCGUGCUAAACUAACAGAUUGGCAAAUUCUUCUACCCAAUCCCCAUUAGACCUCAUUAGGUGCUUCUUAAGGCCAUUAAAAAUAAUCUUAUUUGACACCUCAAUCUGGUCAUUGGCUUGGGGACAUGCCACCGAGGUGAACCGCUGAUGGAUAUCUUUUUCUUCACAUCAUUCAUUGAAGGGACUUCCUUCAUACUAGGUGCCAUUGUCACAUACUAGAAUCCUUGGGUUACCGAAAUGUGUGAGGAUGUUUUUCCACAUAAAUUUUAUCAUUUGUCUUCCCGUGAUGAUGGCCAGGGGCUCCACCUCAAUCCAUUUAGUUAAGUAAUAGAUAAUGAUGAACAAGAAGUUAGCUCCAACUGGGGUGUGUAGAAAUGGUCUAAAAAUCUCUAUGCCAUAUUGAUGAAAGGGCCAGGGACUACUGAGGCUGGUUAGUGGCUUGGCGGGUUGGUUUUGAAAGGAGUGAAAGCCUAGGAUUCUGGGCACUUUUUGGUGAGCUUGUCCGCAUCCUUGAUGAUGUCUGGCCAAUACCCCCCCCCCCCAACGAACUACCUUCCCAGUGAGUGCUCAUUUACCUUCACGAGCUUUGGCUUCCCCUACAUAAUUGUCUUCUAAAAAUGAAUGUCCCUCGGAAUGGGGGAUGCACUUGAGCCAUGUAGGUAUCCCCUCUUGUACAACUGUGUGUCCCUUAGCACCAACUCCGGGGCCUUGACCUUGAUCCUCCUAGCCUCUGCGGGGUCAUCUGGGAGAAUUCCAUACAGGAGAUGUUCUAUGAAGGGUUUGGUCUAAUUUGGAGUUGUUGUGAUACCGUUAACAUUCUUGUUGUCGAUGCUUCUCUCUAAAAUAGUCUACACCAAGACUUUAUUGGUUAACUCCAUUCUAGCUUGCUAAGAGCAUCGAAUCUCGCGUUUUCUCCCCAGAGGAUUUGUUUGAUUGAGAAGAUCUUGAAUGAUCGUGCUAACUCUUGCACUUUGUUUAGGUACCUUUGCAUUUUUUGGUCUUUGGCUUAGUAUGUCCCUUUGAUCUGAUUGGUAAUGAGAAGGAAAUCACUAAGGGCUACAAGGCAUUUCGCUCAGAUUUCUAGGGCUAGUCAGCGGCCUGCCAAAAGUGCUUCGUACCCGGCAUCAUUGUUAGAGACCUGGAAGUUGAAUCUUAAGGCAUACAAGAUUUCGUCAUCGUUGGGGGUUUUGAGGAUUAGAACUUCCUCAUAACUUUCCUUGCUUGUAGCUCCGUCUAUGUGUAAUUCCUAAAUUUCUGGAAUCGCCUCUGGUUCUAAGGGAUCUAUUGGAAAGAUCGUUAGCACGUCUUUGAGUGUGUCACAAAUCUAGGAUAGGAAUACCAAAUCUGGGGAUUUGAUGUUAGUGCAUGGGAAAAAGCUAAGUGACGAAGCGAUGUACUGACCAACUUUCCAGAUGAUAAUGAUGAAAUAGAUGAGAUGAGAUGAUGAUAAGAUAAGAGGCCUUGACUUUAUAAAUGAUCUAGUCAUCUACCGGAGUAUAGAUGACGACCACGAACUAUUGUAUACAGUCUAGUGGAAUGCUAGCAGGCUCGCAACCUGUAGGUGUUUUUGAACCACAUGUUCACUAAAUAUGUACUCCAUUUCUUCUAUGGUUACCUUAUUGACAUUCAUUACUAAGGAAUCCCCUAAUUAGUGUUUUCUACCCCGAUGCUUAUAAUGAUCCUUAGGGUAGGUCCCUUGAGAUUAGUAGUUAGGGUCAUAAUGUGAGGAUAACGGGAAUGGGUAAUCAGGUUGAAUUGUUUGAUGAAAAGAACAUAAUUAAAGAAUAUAAUUAGUGUGGAUGGAAACCCUAUAUGCUCACCAGACUUUCCCAAGUCUGAUCCAAUCAAUUUCCUUGUAUCACAGGUAGCGGUAGAAAAGCACAUGUUUGUUCAGAUUAUUCUGAUGAGAUGAUAAUGGAAUAUAGGGCAAUAGGUUAAUGUUCUAUGGUAAGGCCUGCAAACUUUUGUUUAUGCUUAUGUAUUUUAUUGAUGAUAGCAUCCCAAAGUUAUUAAUAUAAAUAAAAUAAUUUUCUUUGCAAAUUAUUUGAUAAGAUUAUUAUGAUGUUUUUUUGGAACAAAUUCCCCAUUAUAAUUCUUUAAAAUAAUACUCUUAUUUUUAAUAAGCAUAAAUAAAUCGGUCUUUUCUGGCCUUGAAAUUGGGAUGUCACACCAGGGAAUAGGAAUAUAAUUCUCAUUUGAAUUUUCAACCGAUAUUUAAUACCUUAAUUAAUACUUGUACUAAAAUCAUGUUCAUGAAAGUAAAUUUACACUCACCUAACUUAAGUGGAAGAUCCUCGGGAAAGCUAGCUCAUAUGCUACCUCUUCAACUUAUCCCUUCCGACAUCCUAGAUACAAAUAUUACUAUGAUUUAUGGAUCAUAUUUCUACUAUUUCCUGGAUUCCAGAAAAAUAUGAAUACAUAGAGAUUUAUCAAAUGAGGAAUAACCAGGUAAGAUCAUAUCGGAGGCGGGGUUCGUUUGGUAUACAUAGUAUACUGCUUGGAAAUUCCACUUUAAACACCUUACUAGAUCUAACCUAGACAUCACUCCCGUAAGUAAAUUGAUAAGUGUUAUGACAUGGAAUUACUAAUAAACCUUGCUAAUAGAUUCAUAAUAAUGAUAAUGAACUUAAACAUAAGUUACACUUAAAGCAUAACAAGUGUAGUUUAACUUAGAAAGUUUCUAGCGAAAACCAAGAAAUUAUGCGGGCAUAACUCUGACCCCAAAUCUUCUCUUCAUUAGGCUUACAUCUAUCUCAGAGCCUCGCUAAUAUGCUUAUAAGUCCAGAAAAGGCCAGGCUCAAAGAAGGAAAAAUGUUUGAGAGAGAAGGGAUUCGAUUUGUGUGGAAAAAUGAGAAAAUCUUCGUAGCUAUAUAUAUGAGCAUGGGGAGGCACGCCACGUCCUUAUGGCAAUGAUGUUCCUCAUGUAGAUUGCUACAUGUCAAAAUUUGGGUGGGCCAUUUCUCACCUUCUAGAAGCUAGGUGUGUCGUGUAGAUUUUUCAUUUUUUCUAAAAAUCAUAUCUUUCUCAUAGAAGCUCCAUUUUUGACGUUCUUAAUAUCCACGUGUAGCUAUCAUGAUUACUACAACUUUCAUUUAGACUUUGUUGGCUAAUUCUCAAUUUAUUUUUAAUUUUAUAUUUUUAAAGGCCUUAGACUGCUAAAACCUAUACGAAAAUCACAACUCUGUCAUAUGAAUUUUUUUCUAGACUGUCUUUAUAUCGACAAAAUCCAAUUCAUGAGAUCUUCAACUUCCGUUUAGAUUGUUUCGGCUAACAAUCAACCGAUAUGAAUUUCUAUUUUUGUGUCCAUACUACUACGCUGAAACUUUGAAAAUUUAUAAAUUCAUCAUACAAAGUCAGAUUUGGAUGUUCUCUAUAUGCACGCUCUCGAUUUUACGAUUAUUGAUAGUUUCAUUUUAUUUACUUCAUUUUAUAGUUUAUUUUAGCAUUUUCAUUCACAAUUUAACUAAUUUCGAUGCAUAUUUUACCUUAUGUUAUUUCGGGUACUUUCUAGUUUCGUGAACUUAAUUGCAGAUUUUAAGGAGACUAGCAGAGCGGGAUCUUUGGGUGGCAAAUGGAUUUGGAGGAUAAUGAAAGAUAAUGGUCUAUAAGAUUGAUGAGAUGAAGCAAAUCACGGGCUUGUUAAUUAUUUGAAGGCUUGGAGAAGAUGAGCUUUGAAUUUGCAAGAAAAUGGAAGAAUAUUUGUGCAUGCAUAGAUUAUUGAUCUGGCGAGUGCACGAGUUUUUGUUGGAUUACUAUAGCCAAAUUAGGGACUUAAAACAAGAAUUUUGACAUGUAGCAAUCUACACAUCCAAAAUUUGAAGGUUUCUCUAUAAAUUUUGUUGGAUUACUAUAGCCAAACUGGGCUUAAAAUGAAGAACUAUUUGAGGAAGGUUGGUGUGCAUCUUUUUCACACUUCUACACAUCCAAAAUUUGAAGGUUUCUCUAGAAAUUUUGGAGCAUUUGGAAGGCCAAGAACACAUCAAAAACAUCAUCUUUUUGCUCUUUAUGCUUGUUAGAUGUUUGGAAUAAUCUUCUCUUACUUUAUUUUCUUGAGUUUAGCCAUGCUAGGCUAAACUAAGCUUUGUUUACUUUGGUGAAAUCAUUUAUGAGAAUGUUUUAUGUUUUAACAUCUUCUUGCUACUUGUAUGCUUUUAAUCAUGAGUUUAAAUGUAUUUGUAGUGAUUCGUUGGCUAAUUUCUUGAUUAAGUAAUUGAUCUUCAAAUUAGGAAACAACAAGUGGUUCUUGUGCUAGUUUUCACUUCACACAAUCACAAAAACAUUUUGUCCCACAUGGCCGUGAAAGCAUUUGACUCCUCUUGCAUUUGGUAACUUUUUGGUUCUUAGUACUAUUUAAUUUUCACUAAUUACAUGCUUAAUGGAAAAUUUGACUUUAAUUAAGCUAAUAUGUUAUGAGAUUCUCAAGCUAUUUUAAUAAGAAAAGUCUAGGUAAUCUCAAGCUUCUUGGAAUACUAUAGCCAAAUUAGGGAUUUAAAACAAGAAUUGCACCUUGGGUUCUAAUGAUAUGUUCACCAAAUAUUCAUGUGAGGAAAUCUUACAUCCAACUCUUGUUUUUGUUGAAUUUUCUAUUUAAAUCUUAGUUUGACUCUAGUUUUAUUUCUACUGUUUCAAAAGAGCAAAACCCCCGUUUUUUACUUUUAUUGUCAUUUUAAAAGUACUUUUACAAAGAUAUUUUCAUAGAGUCAUAAAAUUGAACCAAUAUACAAAUCCUUUACCACUAUACACUAUUUUAGCGUACAAGAUUUUGGGUUAUUUAUUUUGUAGGCCUCGACAACCACCAAAUUUUGGCGCCGUUGCCGGAAAUUGGUUUAUUUUUUUAUCGAUAUGUUUCUCUAUGCCCAUAUAUCAACGUACAGGUACUUUGAUCUAUAAUCCGAAAAUUAAAAAAGAAGCAAGAUAUUUAUCAAAGGAAAGGAGAAUAGAGAAUGUUCAAACUUCAAAUUCUAAUGGAAACCCGAAAGUUGAAACCGCUUCCUCUAGUGACACCGAGCUCGAAGUAUAACCCGAUUCUAGCCAUGACCCUUUCUAAGAAAUUCUUGAAACACCACCCCAACAACAAAAUCCACGCAUAAUAAACCAAAUUCCAAUGGAGGAAUGGGAAAAAGCUCCCGGAAAGGCCUUGAGACAAACGAUGGAAACCAAUGUCACACAAACUCUAACCGGUAUCAAUUACCCCCUUUUGGAAGGAGGCUUGGAAUUAAAGCUUUAUUCAUCACCUACCAACAUUUUGUGGAUUGGAGAAUGAAAACCCACACAAACACUUGAAGAUGUUCCACAUCAUUUGCACUAGCAUGAAGCCAAAAGGUUCAACCGAUGACCAAAUCAAGAUAAGGGCAUUCCUUUUUUCAUUGGUCGAUAGAGCAAAAGAUUGGUUAUUCUAUCUUCCACCAGGGUCAAUCAACUCAUGUACCGACAUGGCAAGAGCUUUCCUUGAUAAGUUCUAUCCCGCUUCAAGAGUAUAAAGUCUUCGAAAUGAGAUUUGUGGAAUCCGCCAAGGUUAAAGUUAGAGUUUCAUGACUAUUGGGAGAGGUUCAAGAACUUGAGUUAUAGUUGCCCACAACACUAAAUUACGGAACAACUCCUAAUUCAACACUUAGAUGAGGGAUUAUUACCAACGGAGAGAAGACUUGUUGAUGCCUCAAGUGGUGGAUAUUUCUUUAGCAAAACUCCUCAACAAACAAGACAACUCUUCAACACCGUAGCCGUCAAUUCUCAACAUUUUGGCCCCCGCCAAGACAUGAAGAAGGACAUGAAGGGUUUUAAGCACUAUAACAUCCCUAUGGUGCACAUACAACCCCAAUGCUUUGGAUCUAAGUUUUCUCUAGUUAUACAUGCAAAUUUCAUUUUUCCAAAGCAUGAAGCCUAUCUAGCAUACAACUUGAUAUAUGAAUCAUUGUAAGUCCCCGAUCUGCUUGUGUAUCAAUUAGAUCCGUUUGAUGGUGCGGAAUCCCAAUCAAACGGAUGAUCUCAGAUAAAAAUAGAAGAAAAGGAGAAGAAGAAUAAUAUGAAUCUUGUGAUUUAUUCAAAGAUAUUGUGACAACCGUCAAAUUCUGGUCAAGUCAAAGUCAAAUAAAGCCAACAAGUCAAAUCGGUCAACUCAAUUAACCCUUGUGUACUAGGGCCUACGUUAGGUACUCUAAUGAGAAAUCAUCAAUUUAAAAGUUCGUAUAUCUAGAAUUCAUUAACCUAAAACUAUGGUAAGUAACGGACCAAACCGAUAAAACAAUGUUGCAUACUCAUCGGGAGUGUGUAAGAUCUUAAACAUAGCUUAACGGGGUUUACGAACCUUGCGUUGCAAAGCCAAACUCUCAAAAAGGUCACAAAUGGAGCCUCUCCCAAUCUCUUUCACUCUAUAUCUCUCUAUUUAGAAUCUCUCUCAAACUAUGGUAAGUAUGUGAAAUCUCUCCCAAAUCUCUCUAAGUAUGUGAAAUCUCUCCCAAAUCUCUCUAAGUAUGUGAAAUCUCUCUAAGUAUGAGAAAUCUCUCCAAGUAUGUGAAAUAUCUCCCAAAUCUCUCUCAAAGGUUGCUUUAACUUUUUAUAGUAUUUUGGGCCAUCCCGACCCUUAACCGGGUAAAAAACCGCUUAAAACGGGGUAAAAACGAGUAAAAUAGGCUUAAGGACCCGAAACCCAUCCUUUUGGGCCGAAGCCUCUUAGAGCCGAAAGUCCCCUAUAGGGACCGAACCCUGCUGACCCGAAGCCCCUGCAAACCAAGGAACCGAACCCGAACCUUCUCUCUCGGACCGAACCUCGCAUGCCAGACGAACUCUUCGCUCCAUUUCGCUUCUGAUCCCUUCAGUCCAUUUCGCUUCCUAGUCCACCUUCGCCUUCGAUUCCAGCCUCUAAGGACCGAACCUGGUCACUUUCGGUCCCUCAUGCUAGAGGCCUCGCAGAAAAGCCUUUUCUUCCCGGUUUUCGACUAGUUUUGCAUUUUAGGCCCGUUUUUAAUUAUUUUAACGUGGGAUUUUCACCCAAAACUUUAUUUUAACAUAUAAGGCCCCAUAUUUAUUAAUUAAUCACGUUUUUGGGGAUAAAUCUUAUCCAAGAAGAGUGGGUGAAGUACAAGAGGUGGAGUGUUGAUUUUUCUUUAGUUUAUGACACAAGCAACCACCCACACCCACUCCAUGACCAGCCACACUCCUUCCACCAUACCUAGGUCAUGUCAAUGUACUUUAUCAUAAUUUCCAGGCAUUUUCCACGUUCUUAGAGCUAGAACAUCCACCCUCUCUCCUCACACUUCAUUCAUUCUCUCAUUUUCCUCCAAGAAUCACACUCCAAACUCUCUCAUCUUUCUCUCUCAAUUUCGAGAACUUCAAGGUAUACUCCAAGUCUUAUCUCCUUCAUUUGGUAAGUAUCAUCAUCUUUCUUAUGAUUAUUACAUAUCCUCCUACUCAAAAUUAUAGAUUGCUUACACAAAUUCCAUCACAUUAGUGUUAGAUUCUCGAAUCUUCAAGCAAUCCUCCAAGUGUUCUUGAGUUGAAAACUUCUCUUCUUCAACAUUCACCCACUAAAAUCAUAUAAGGUGAGUUCAUACCCCUAUCGUUUCAUGUUUUAUUAAGUUUUAAGGGGCGCAUACAAGUUAAAGCACCAAGAACACAACUAAACUUUUCCAACAGCUUUCAUCAAGAAAGUUUAAGUCCAUUCACAGACUGUUUUGGUCAAAUUAAACAUUUUAGUUUUCAAAACUGUAUUAGAUGCAGAUAGUUCAGGUUUAUACCGUUAAAAUGACUACUUGCACAUCUCCAUAUGAUUUUUCUACGAUUUAUGGUGAUUUUUACAAAACAGUCUAUCAUUUCAAGAACAAAUCCGGACCAGUCUGUGAAUAUGGAAAUUUCAAACCAAGUUAAAGACUUCGAAAAAUCAUAAUAAAAAUUAUGGAUAAACUCGACACAUUUUAUGAACUCUCAGAAUUUACGGAUUCAGUUUUUGACUUCGUAUGAUUUUUCUAAAACAGUGCAGAAAGGUUAAAAACUAGUUAACAUCUUAUAACUUUCAUAACACUUUGUAUUAUGUUGAGCAAAGUGUAUAACAAUAAGUACUAAAUAUUGAAUGUGUUUUCUUGUUAGUUUAUCAUCAUAAACUGAAAUUUAGUCAUUCAUGAUAAGAUUCUUCAUUCAUUUAGAACACCUAUAAUAAGCUAUAAUAAGCAUAGUUUAUGGAUUCAUAGCACUAAUGUAUUUUCAUAAAAGAGUUCUUUUACAUUACAAACAUUUUGGAUAAACUAUAAUAGGUAUAGUUUAUGUAUCAUUUACAUUUCAAACUUAUUUACCAAAGGUUUUCAGUUCAGUUCACGUAAAUCUGUUACUGAAUAAAUUUGUGAGUCAUUCCCUUCAUGUUACCUUCAUGGUAACAAAGUCAAAAGUCCUGUAAAUUGUAACCAGAGUCUCUUGUAGGGAGAGCGUGAUAGUUGUGUAUAGAUCUAUAUUGGGUCUGACAUGCCCGCACCUGAGCUGCUUGCAACAGCUAGAUCGGCAGGGCUGAGGGGACAAGUGUCAUUUAACGUGCGACGCCUGAAGAACGUCGUAUUACGAGGCCGUCUGAGUCUUAGCAUGGUUAUAAUAGCUCACAUGUGGUAUUAACAAAUCAUAAGAUUUACGGGUUCUACUUUUAUAUUAGCGAGUUAUGUCGAUUUAACUCACAUGAAUUACUUUAAGUGUGGAAAAAAUACUUGUACACUUUUAUAUCAAAAGGGUUUUAUGCCGAUUUAAAAUUACUUUUAUAUCUUUAAGUAUGGAAAAUACUUGUUUACUUUCGGUCCCGGGAUUUAGGACUACCUAACUCUUAUAAGGAUAAUAUUGGAUUUUCUUUGGAAACAUAUUUCUGUUAAAACUACAUUCAUCUAGAAUUGCUAGGCUCCGACUAUAAUUGCUAAGUGUAUAUGUUAGAGUUAUAUAUGAAUCUAUUUAUAAUCGACUUAGAAUUGGUGGGCCCGCCUUUCUUCGUGUUCCUUGUUUGGUUGUGGACCUAGGGCAGACCCAUUAUAUUCGACGGUUUAUUUAAUUUAAAUUUUAUAUAACUUAUAUACACUGGGGGAUUAUAGAAGGAAUCUAUGAGUCUUUCUAGGGUUCAUUAUCGCAUAACAUAGAAGCAUUCAUUUCACACUUAACAAAGAAAAUACUAGGUUUUCUGGAAACAUACUUUGUCGCUUUUCCAAAGAAAACAGUUCUUUCUCAAACAAAACUCUUAUGAACUUACCAACUUAAUUGUUGACACUUUUUCAAAACUACUUGUAUUCUCAGGAAAUCAGUGAAAACUGGAAAACCAACCGCAUUUUGAGGAUGGGACGUUAGAUCGUCAAACAGUCCAUUUUGUCAUCAUAAUUUAAUUGAUUUGAAACAUGCAAACAUAUACUUUGGUGUAACUUUUUCAAUUAUAUUUAUGAUGGUUGUAUUUACUUUGUGCACUAUUAUACUCGUUGUUGUGAUACUAUACAUGAAGUCAUCCACCCCCGGACGUUUCCGCCAUCCUUGGUUUGGGGGUGUGACAGAUUGGUAUCAGAGCAUUGUUUAUAGUGAACUAAGUAUAUCGAACCACAUAAGAUAUACAAACUAUAAAUGCAUUGGGACUAAGGUGUCUGAUUUAACACUUUCAAAUAACUAUACUUUUAGAAAUAAAUAGUUUCUUGCUAAAAGUAUACAUGCAUGCAUACAUACUAAGGUCAACAUAAUUCUAGAACAAAACAAAAGUAAUGAUUUUUGAAUGGCACAAGUAGGCUUGGGGAUGUAUAGUUAGGUCUGGGAAUGACAUAGCCUGAUCAACUACGCCUGACCCAGAAGUGAUUAGCAUAUGCCCGGGAAUGGUUGUGGCGUUGCAACAAGUCUAAAAACUUACCAAUUCUCUCUACACGGAAACAUUAAAAACAUAAGACAAACAUUAGAAUACUAUAGGAGUAUUUUGUAGUACUAUAACCAACUUAUGUGAAAACUAAAGACCCCUAUUAGUAGGACUAUAACGACUAAGUGCAUACGCUAAGGUUAUACAUAAUUAAAGAUAUUAUAGACUCAGAAUCUAUGACUAUUGCUCUACUUCCUGUUCUUUGUUUGGUUGUGGACUUAGAGUAGAGUCAUUUAUUCGAAGGUCAAUUCUAUCUCAGAUUAUGUAUAACUGGUAUGCACUAUGUGAUUAUAGACGUGACUAAUAAGGAUCACCCCUUAUAAGUAAUUAAUUAUAGGAUUAGACACCUAUUAAUUACCUCUCCCACCCUUAUUCUCGCACGGACAACACGACAAAAUCUAACAUACCAGGAGGCCCCUACUUUCCGAACCGGAGAGUUAGUGAGUGAUGAGGUUAAGAGUUUGAGGUAGAGCCAGAGGUCGACAACUCUCCUCACAUAGCCUGGGCAGCAUUGAUCGAGGGAUGGAGUCGCCAUCAACAAAAACAAUUCGCCAUUUGAGGAUGUAUUAUCGUAAGCAGAGUUCAUUUUACUCACAAGACCUUGUAGAUUAGGUCUAUGAGUAUGCGUUGGUGUUACUCGCCUCCAUGUGUAGGCCCGACCCCAUGAGUUAGUGAUUACACUAGUCGAGGGAUGUAUUUGCGGUCAAAACUUUUCUUGCAAUGAUGUGGUAUGGACCUGCAUCAGGCUCAAAACCUUCCUCUUAAAACUAAAUAUGCUAAAAUUACACAAAUAAAGGGAGCAUGCGUAUUAUUUCUUUGGGAGAAAUACUACUAAAAUUCAUAAGUUCAUGAUAUAUAGACUCACGUUAUGAACUGUUUUCAGAACACCAUAAACAACCGGAACACGAUACACUGAGAACUAAGAUAAAUAACUCCCGACGUAUAAACCCUUAUUUAAGACUCACUAUCAUCUCACCCUUUUUAAGCCUCAUAGUUAAAAGGUGCCCUUUUCGUAGACCUAUGGGGGUGCGAUCAUACCAGCACUAAUGCAUCGGGCCCCAUCAAAAACUCCUCCACCCCCGGACAUUUCCACCAUCCUUGGUUUGGGGGUGUGAAAAAUAUGAAUGAUGCUCCAUUCAAAAGAUUCUCUCUCACACACUAUUCUUCUCUCUAACUUUCUCUCUCUACAAUAUGCUCUCCUUUCUCUCUCUCCUCUAUCCUUANCACUCACAUGACCCCUCCCCCUAUAUAUAUGAGACCCCAGCCGUACACGUGUGUACAGCCGCACACCCUGUGUACGACCGUACACAGGGUGUGCGACCGUACAUAGCCACAAAAUUACAUAUUACAUUAUAGAAAAAUAUAUUUUCCUAGAAAAGCAAAGUAUAAACCAUAUUUUUUACCCAACAAUCUCCCCCUUGGUUUAUAGCUUUCUUUUCUAAUUGGACCAACAAGCCCCCCUAAAAAGUAGCUGGCUUAUCUUGUCAAUCUUCAUUGGGAGCUUGGCUUCAGCCUUAAUCUUUGAUUUCUUCACAGCUUCAAGAUGAAGAUAUGAAUCUUCAAUAAAUGACUUCAUCCUGAGCGGUUGGGCAAUUCUUCAAGAUUUGACUCUAAACUCACAUUGGGCGACUUCAGCAGGUUUAAGAUAGUAGCAGACUGAUUGAGGAGACUUCAAUGCAAUCCGUCACAUAAUCUUCAAGUGCAGCUUCACCUUGCUUCUGGGGUUGAAGGAUUGAAUGUUUAAAGAAUGAUCUUCAUUUCUUGCUCCUUCGAAUGAAAAUUCAUCGAUGCUCACAGAUGAAGCUUCGACUCAGAAAUCUCGAUAUAGACUCCAUGAGUCUCAUCUACAUUUGAAUUCAUUUUUCCAGACAGAACAAAACUAAAAGAAAACUGUAGCACACAAUUGUAGGGCUGAAGUUUUAAUUGAUGUUGCGUCUUUUGGGCUCGUUAGAUUAGCCUUGUAUUCUCCGGUUUGGGCCUGUCCAACCGUGAGCCUUUUAUGUAUAGUAUUUAAGUUAAUGCUUGCAUGCAUAUUAGGUUAAGAUUAUAGAGAUUGUCGAAAUAGCGAUUGAUACAGCGUACAACANUUUUCUUUAAUCGUUCUUGUAAUCUUCUAAUCCUCUACAAUUGAUGUUCUUAAUCGAGCUCUUCUGAGGAUUUUAUUUAAUCAUUCGACACGUUUGAUUCAAGCUGUUUUGUUCAUAUUAUUGCGUUUUUGCUGUUUCAUAUUUAUAUACUUGUUCAGGAUCUAUUCGAUCUUCAUAGAUUAAAAGUUGUUUUAAUCCCAUCAAUUGGUAUCAGAGCAGGAGGCUGUGUAAUCGAUACACAUCUUUUCUGUGAAAAAGAUUUCCAUUAGGGUUUUCCGCAAUCAUCGAUAUUUAUUGAGCCGUCAUCUUAAUUGACGUAUCUUAAUAUUUAUUGUUUUGCCCUAAUCUGCUUUAUUACAAGUCUGAUCUUUGAACAGGUUUUUACGAUCAUAAUGGACGCGACGCAAUCAAACCCUAUUAAUAUUUCCAACAGCAUCGGUUCGACGACAAAGAUUCCAAUCUUAUACACCCAUGACUAUGAAGUAUGGGCGCAUCAUUUUGAAGAUUACGUGAUUGGAUCGGAGGACAAUGGUUAUCUCAUAUGGGAAGCCAUCAUCAAUGGACCGUUUUCUCAUUCUGCUACAUCCAGAAUCAUCAAGACACAAAAAGAGUACAACGAUCUGCUUAAGGACGUGAAGGAUAUUGCACAAGACGAGAAAGACAAAUUCCAGUGUAAUAUUAAGGCGUUAAGGUUGAUCAGAUUCGCCCUUCAGUCAGACACAUUCAGACUGGUCAGCUCAUGUACUACGGCGAAGGAAGUAUGGGAUAGACUUCGCGAACUGUAUUCCACAGACGAAGAUCUUGAACAUUCUAUCCAAACCUUGCUUCUAUCUGAGUUUGGAGAAUUCAGGCAAGGGGCCGAAGAAACGGUGACCCAGACGUUUGAUCGCUUCAAUCAUCUUCUCAGCAAGAUGAUCAAACACGACAUUGAAAGGAAGCUUAUCGAACAGAAGGUUACUUUCUUGAACGGACUGAGGUCUGAGUGGAGAGCAGUGGUUUCCACAGUCAAAGCCCAUGAGCAGUUUAAAUCAUACUCUUUGGCGAAACUGGUGGGUAUUCUAAAGUCCCAAGAGAAGAUUGUGGUACAAGAGAAGAACGUUGUUUCUAGUCUUGGUUCGUUGGCCCUCCUAUCUAAAAGUAAAGCUGUGAUGGAGGAUGAAGAGCUUAACUUGGAGGAAUAUGACCUCACGUCUGAGGAUUAUGCCAUGAUGGUGUCCAAUCCUAAGAGGUUCAUAAAGAAGAGAUUCCCCAGCAACAAAAACCGAAACUGGCAGGGGAGUUACAGCUCUGAAAAGGUGAACAAUGAACCGAAGGCUGAGGAGCCCAAGAAGGAACCGAAGGCAGAUGGCGAUUCCGGAGUAAGCUGUUUCUACUGUGGUGGCAAGAACCACUAUGCUAAGGACUGUGUUCUUAAGAAGAUGGCUGAAAAGGACGAUGGAAAUGAUGAGGAAGCCGUGCUGCAGAAGAGAUUGGAUGAGUUGAGAAAGAAGAAGUCUACCGCUAACCCUUCUAUUAAUGCUCUUAUUGUGCAGGGUUCGGUUAAUGACGAUGAGUUCGGUAGCACAGAAGUUUGGUCUACUGACUCAGAAGAUGAAGAAGUGAGGAAGCCUACCCAUGGAAAGGCGUAUGUGGCUAAGGAGGAAAGCAGUGGAGGAAAAUGCUUCAUGGUGACUGACGUAUCACAAAUGAGGGGAUACAACACCGAUGGAGGAAGCGAUGGACCGAAGGUACAGGAGGAUAUGUGCUUUACGGCCAAACCACUCAGCCAGCAGUUCAAUGAGCUCGAUGAACUGAUAAAGAAGGUACAAUCUGUUUUUAUUUCAUCUAAAGUACCAUCAUCCUCAUAUGAGAAAGAACUAAAAAAUGUUAAUACAAGAAUUUCUCAUUUAGAUAGUAGCUUAACUCAAACUCGAGUCACCAAUUCUAACCUGACUGAUCAAUUAAGCAGGGUGGCGUCGAAGAGUGAGGAGCGGCGAAUGUGGAUUGAGUUAAAAGAGUCGGAAUUAGUUAAAGUCAAAGACGAAAACAUUUAUUUGCAGAGAGACAAUUUAAAAUUGUUAAAACAACGAAAUGUUUUUUGUUUAAUUGCUAAACGUUUAUAUUCCAAUAUUACUCAACUUCACUUAGACUGUGAGAUAGGCCAAAAGAUCCAUCGCAUGAUUUUGCCCUUCCUAGAGUUUAAGGAGGAUGAAAUCGAUGCCGAAGCCUACAAUUGUGAGAGUGUGAUAUCGUCUGAUGAUGUCAACCCAACCUAUAUGUAUGGACUGGACAAAAUUGAGUCCUUCAUUAAAUCCAAAGACCACAAGGACAUGCUCAAAAAUCUUUUGGACGAAAAUGACAGACUUAAACUGAGAACCGAAACCAUACAAAAGUUUGACUCUCUAAACGCCAACGUAAGCUCAGAAAAUAAAAUCGAUGUUGAAAAUGCAUCUGAGCUUAACGAGGACGAAAACAUGAGUGAAAUUUCUGUAGAGGAUACGGUUGACUGCUCAGAAUUUGUUAAAAGCGAAACUGAAAACCACAAAAAUCUUAUUUCUGAAAAUUCUGUGGAAUUCGCUAGAUUGUCCCAACAAAAGUCCCCGAAAUUAGUAGAAAAAGCAGUGGUCUAUCAAAAGGUCAGGACAACUCCAAAUCAAGUAUACAAAGUGACUGGAGACCGAACAUCNGCUCACAAAUAUUGUAAACGAAGACAAUGCUGAUGGCUGUGAUGAGUACUUCUGGGAAGCUCCAAUAGAUAAUGGAAACGAAACUGUUGGCCUAUCUGAAAGAACCUCCUGGAUGAGAAAAGGGAGAUACAUACCUGAACCUUUGAAUAAGCCUGAUAAUUUCAGUGAACCAAGCACCAGUGGUACGAAAGAUAUUCCUCAAGAGGAUGAUCGUUCAGCAAAAGAAGACAUUCCCUCUACUCCAACAGCUCAAAGUGAAACUUCAUCAGAUAUUCCUCCCACUUCCUCAGUACAAACUGAAUCUUCUUCGGAUAUUCCCUCUGCUCCCUCGGCUCAAAAUAAAACGCCUGAAGUUCAAAAGGAACCAGCCAAGGUGACAACAAAAACGAAAGCGAACGUUCAUCAUCAACCUAAGCAGAUGAGGGAUAAGAAGAUAGAAAGGAACCUAAGAUACAGGAAAAAUCUUUCUGAGAGGAAACAAUUCUGGCACUCCCAGAAUGCAUACUAUUCACACAAAGACAAGAAUCUGAAGUAUGAAAACAAUCCUGUAAGAAAGCCUGAAAAUUCCAUCGACCGAAAGCCAAGGUUCGGUUCACAAGGAGAUACCAACC